UUUGGUGAAUACUAUUUUAAAGCC
Molecule: non-coding RNA, 24 nt
Filed under: Arabidopsis thaliana (thale cress)
Lineage: Eukaryota; Viridiplantae; Streptophyta; Magnoliopsida; Brassicales; Brassicaceae
Source: RNAcentral